Molecule: long non-coding RNA, 767 nt
Organism: Lotus japonicus
Lineage: Eukaryota; Viridiplantae; Streptophyta; Magnoliopsida; Fabales; Fabaceae
Exons: 2
Source: RefSeq, a predicted model, not a curated record
UGAAAAACCACUUUUUCUGCCUCAAUUAAAUGAUCUUCUUCUUCUGGUUGAUUGGCCCGUUUGGUCGAUCGAGGUGACGCUGGAAGAGUAGUAUAAAGUGAUUAGCCUCAGGGCAGGAAAUGCUUAAGUAUAACACGUUUGCUUUGCAACCGUUUAUAGACUCACUAAUACUAGAGCACAGUUUUGUUCCAUUUUCUACCAUAUCUAUGAAGGCAUGUAGAGCACUAACCAGUGAGGACAGGAAACUUCGUCACAAGGAAAAAACAGAAAGAGAUAGCUGAGUUGUGCAUGCAGUAUACCACCAAUCAUCAUGGUUAUCUAUCAAGUGAUUUAUGUGGUUCCUAAUACUUAGGCGGCCAGAGAAGAAGAUUAUAAUGAAAAUGCACUAGCACCUGAACUCUCCCUAGCUAGAUGACGAAUGUCAAUUAGUUGUUGACAGGUACUGCUUUAAAGGAUGAUCAUGUUAUUGCUGGGGAUAUAGAUCCAAAUUUGCAAUUCAUAUGACUUUGGACUUGAUGUAUAUGGACUCGAUCACUCCAUAAAAAAGGUAGACAGAUGAAGGGUAUGUAUUGUAUUCUACACUUUAGUUAGUUGACAGUUACUUUAGUUAAGCUUGUUGUAUUUUCCCUUUUACUGUUUCUUUUAGUUACUAGCUUGUUAUUCUGUUUUCAGCUCUUAGCUAUGUUCGUUAGAGUUCUUAAUUGUGUGUGUAACUAGUUCUCUUUGUACUCAUUUGAUCAAGAACAAUAACUUAUAUUCAUUUUCUC